GACGAACGCUGGCGGCGUGCUUAACACAUGCAAGUCGAACGGAAAGGCCUGCUUUCCCUUGUGGAUUGCGGGUACUCGAGUGGCGAACGGGUGAGUAACACGUGAGUGAUCUGCCCCCAACUUGGGUAUAAGCCUGGGAAACUGGGUCUAAUUCCCGAUAGGACUGCAGGGUGGUGCCUGUGGUGGAAAACGAUUUUCUAGUGGUUGGGGAUGAGCUCGCGGCCUAUCAGCUUGUUGGUGGGGUAAUAGCCUACCAAGGCGGCGACGGGUAGCCGGCCUGAGAGGGUGGACGGCCACAUUGGGACUGAGAUACGGCCCAGACUCCUACGGGAGGCAGCAGUGGGGAAUAUGGGACAAUGGGCGGAAGCCUGAUGCAGCGACGCCGCGUGGGGGAUGACGGCCUUCGGGUUGUAAACUCCUUUCGACCGCGAGGAAGCCACCUGGUUGGAAGGGUGGUGACGGUAGUGGUAGAAGAAGCACCGGCUAACUACGUG
This 494-nucleotide ribosomal RNA is filed under the name uncultured bacterium. Its description in RNAcentral is "partial 16S ribosomal RNA". It matches the Rfam family "Bacterial small subunit ribosomal RNA", at positions 28 to 507 of the family's 1533-position model. The record is from RNAcentral.